ACGAACGCUGGCGGCGUGCUUAACACAUGCAAGUCAAGGAGAACGUAUUCUUCGGAAUACUAUUAAAGUGGCGCAAGGGUGAGUAACACGUGAAUAAUCUGCCCUCGAGAUCGGGAUAACAUGGUGAAAACUAUGCUAAUACCGGAUAAGACCACAUUUCGCAAGAAAUGGGGUAAAAGGAGUCUCAAUCUUCACUCGAGGAUGAGUUCGCGCAACAUUAGCUUGUUGGUGAGAUAAAAGCUCACCAAGGCUACGAUGUUUAGCCGGCCUGAGAGGGUGAACGGCCACACUGGAACUGAGACACGGUCCAGACUCCUACGGGAGGCAGCAGUGGGGAAUAUUGCGCAAUGGGCGAAAGCCUGACGCAGCAACGCCGUGUGAGCGAUG
Molecule: ribosomal RNA, 387 nt
Filed under: uncultured Nitrospina sp.
Lineage: Bacteria; Pseudomonadati; Nitrospinota; Nitrospinia; Nitrospinales; Nitrospinaceae
Description: bacterial SSU rRNA
Rfam family: Bacterial small subunit ribosomal RNA
Source: RNAcentral